AGGAGUUUGAUCCUGGCUCAGAACGAACGCUGGCGGCAGGCCUAACACAUGCAAGUCGAGCGAACUGACGGACUUCGGUCCUGAGGUUAGCGGCGGACGGGUGAGUAACGCGUGGGAACGUGCCCUUAGGUACGGAACAACAGUUGGAAACGACUGCUAAUACCGUAUGAUCCUCCUCUUUAGGGAUAUUGGGGAGGCAAAGAUUUAUCGCCUAGGGAUCGGCCCGCGUUGGAUUAGGUAGUUGGUGGGGUAACGGCCUACCAAGCCUACGAUCCAUAGCUGGUUUGAGAGGAUGAUCAGCCACACUGGGACUGAGACACGGCCCAGACUCCUACGGGAGGCAGCAGUGGGGAAUCUUGGACAAUGGGGGCAACCCUGAUCCAGCCAUGCCGCGUGAGCGAUGAAGGCCUUAGGGUUGUAAAGCUCUUUCAGCUGGGAAGAUAAUGACGGUACCAGCAGAAGAAGCCCCGGCUAACUCCGUGCCAGCAGCCGCGGUAAUACGGAGGGGGCUAGCGUUGUUCGGAAUUACUGGGCGUAAAGCGCGCGUAGGCGGAUUGUUAAGUCGGGGGUGAAAUCCCGGGGCUCAACCCCGGAACUGCCUCCGAUACUGACAGUCUUGAGGUCGAGAGAGGUGAGUGGAAUUCCGAGUGUAGAGGUGAAAUUCGUAGAUAUUCGGAGGAACACCAGUGGCGAAGGCGG
Molecule: ribosomal RNA, 699 nt
Filed under: uncultured bacterium
Lineage: Bacteria
Description: bacterial SSU rRNA
Rfam family: Bacterial small subunit ribosomal RNA
Source: RNAcentral